RNAcentral lists this long non-coding RNA (1490 nucleotides) under Nicotiana tabacum (common tobacco). Its description in RNAcentral is "long non-coding RNA (NTAB_LNC002874)". Lineage: Eukaryota; Viridiplantae; Streptophyta; Magnoliopsida; Solanales; Solanaceae. The record is from RNAcentral.
AUUCAGUUUAGGGUUUAAAACCCUAAUGCUGAGUGAAGGGAAAAAUUCAGUUUAGGGUUUAAAACCCUAAUGCUGACUGAAUGGAAAAGUUCAGUUUAGGGUUUAAAACCCUAAUGCUGAUUAAAGGAAAAAAGUUCAGUUUAAGGCUUAAAACCCUAAUGCUGACUGAAUGGAAAAAGUUCAGUUUAGGGUUUAAAACCCUAAUACUGAUAAAAGGAAAAAGUUCAGUUUAGGGUUUAAAACCCUAAUGCUGACUGAAGGAAAAAGUUCAGUUUAGGGUUUAAAACCCUAAUGCUGACUAAAGGGAAAAAGUUCAGUUUAGGGUUUAAAACCCUAAUGCUGACUAAAAUGGAAAAAGUUCAGUUUAGGGUUUAAAACCCUAAUGUUGACUGAAGAAAAGAGUUCAGUUUAGGGUUUAAAACCCUAAUGUUGACUGAAGAAAAGAGUUCAGUUUAGGGUUUAAAACCCUAAUGCUGACUAAAGGAAAAAGUUCAGUUUAGGGUUUAAAACCCUAAUGCUGACUGAAUGGAAAAAGUUCAGUUUAGGGUUUAAAACCCUAAUGCUGACUAAAAUGGAAAAAGUUCAGUUUAGGGUUUAAAACCCUAAUGCUGAUUAAAGGAAAAAGUUCAGUUUAGGGUUUAAAACCCUAAUGCUGAUUAAAGGAAAAAGUUCAGUUUAGGGUUUAAAACCCUAAUGCUGACUAAAGGAAAGAGUUCAGUUUAGGGUUUAAAACCCUAAUGCUGACUGAAUGGAAAAAGUUCAGUUUAGGGUUUAAAACCCUAAUGCUGACUGAAGGAAAGAGUUCAGUUUAGGGUUUAAAACCCUAAUGCUGACUGAAUGGAAAAAGUUCAGUUUAGGGUUUAAAACCCUAAUGCUGACUGAAUGGAAAAAGUUCAGUUUAGGGUUUAAAACCCUAAUGCUGAUUAAAGGAAAAAGUUCAGUUUAGGGUUUAAAACCCUAAUGCUGACUAAAGGAAAGAGUUCAGUUUAGGGUUUAAAACCUAAAACCCUAAUGCUGACUGAGAGGAAAAAGUUCAGUUUAGGGUUUAAAACCCUAAUGCUGAUUGAAGAAAAGAGUUCAGUUUAGAGUUUAAAACCCUAAUGCUGACUGAAGGGAAAAAUUCAGUUUAGGGUUUAAAACCCUAAUGCUGACUAAAGGAAAGAGUUCAGUUUAGGGUUUAAAACCCUAAUGCUGACUGAAGGAAAGAGUUCAGUUUAGGGUUUAAAACCCUAAUGCUGACUGAAGAAAAGAGUUCAGUUUAGGGUUUAAAACCCUAAUGCUGACUAAAGGAAAGAGUUCAGUUUAGGGUUUAAAACCCUAAUGCUGACUAAAGGAAAAAGUUCAGUUUAGGGUUUAAAACCCUAAUGCUGACUAAAGGAAAGAGUUCAGUUUAGGGUUUAAAACCCUAAUGCUGACUGAAUGGAAAAAGUUCAGUUUAGGGUGUAAAACCCUAAUGUUGACUGAAGGAAAGAGUUCAGUUUAGGGUUUAA